CGACAAGGAAAUAUGAAUGAAUCCAAAGUCCUCUUAUUUUUCAGGGAAAGCCUGCAGUCUAUGCUGAGGGAGGCAUGGCUGGAGAGCGAGGCGCGCAUGGGCCGAGAGGUAGAAGGGGUUUACCUGGACCAAAGGGUGUGUCUGGAGAAACUGGUAUACAUGGUAACAGUGGAAUUCCUGGACGUCCAGGCUUAGAGGGUCCAAGAGGUGAACAAGGACCGCCAGGAAUAUAUGGACAGCACGGCUUACCGGGAGACUGGGUAGGCUUUCUCCACCCCAUCCUUGUUGAGUGAUGCUGUGUCAUACCCCU
This 310-nucleotide long non-coding RNA is filed under the name Vombatus ursinus (common wombat). RNAcentral describes it as "lncRNA (ENSVURG00010022075.1)". Lineage: Eukaryota; Metazoa; Chordata; Mammalia; Diprotodontia; Vombatidae. The record is from RNAcentral.